This 432-nucleotide ribosomal RNA is filed under the name uncultured bacterium. RNAcentral describes it as "partial 16S ribosomal RNA". It matches the Rfam family "Bacterial small subunit ribosomal RNA", at positions 29 to 507 of the family's 1533-position model. The record is from RNAcentral.
AACGAACGCUGGCGGCAUGCCUAACACAUGCAAGUCGAACGAGACCUUCGGGUCUAGUGGCGCACGGGUGCGUAACGCGUGGGAACCUGCCCUUAGGUUCGGAAUAACUCCCCGAAAGGGGUGCUAAUACCGGAUAAUGUCUUCGGACCAAAGAUUAUCGCCUUUGGAUGGGCCCGCGUUGGAUUAGGUAGGUGGGAGGGGAAAAGCCUACCAAGGCGACGAUCCAUAGCUGGUCUGAGAGGAUGAUCAGCCACACUGGGACUGAGACACGGCCCAGACUCCUACGGGAGGCAGCAGUGGGGAAUAUUGGACAAUGGGCGAAAGCCUGAUCCAGCAAUGCCGCGUGAGUGAUGAAGGCCUUAGGGUUGUAAAGCUCUUUUACCCGGGAUGAUAAUGACAGUACCGGGAGAAUAAGCUCCGGCUAACUCCGUG